UUUGUACCGGUACACUUUCAUUUUGUACCAGUACACUUAUCUGUACCAGUUACAACUCGAUCGUUGUACCGGUACACUUUACCCAGACUUAGUUUUUUGCUCCGUUUCGAUUCUAUUUCGCACCGAACAACGCUAAAACCUUUCCAACUCAUUCUAAACUCACUUUUAACCCUUCCAACCUUGUUGGAAUGUUAAAUAGAACUUG
RNAcentral lists this long non-coding RNA (205 nucleotides) under Ananas comosus (pineapple). RNAcentral's name for it is "long non-coding RNA (ACOM_LNC009204)". Lineage: Eukaryota; Viridiplantae; Streptophyta; Magnoliopsida; Poales; Bromeliaceae. The record is from RNAcentral.